AUUCCAGCUCCAAUAGCGUAUAUUAAAGUUGUUGCAGUUAAAAAGCUCGUAGUUGAACUUUGGGCCUGGGCGGACGGUCUACCUAUGGUAAGCACUGUUGCGGCCGGGUCUUUCCUUCUGGCUAGCCCUCGGGCGAACCAGGACGAUUACUUUGAGGAAAUUAGAGUGUUCAAAGCAGGCCUUUGCUCGGAUAUAUUAGCAUGGAAUAAUAGAAUAGGACGCAUGGUUCUAUUUUGUUGGUUUCUAGGACCAUCGUAAUGAUUAAUAGGGACGGUCGGGGGCAUCAGUAUUCAGUCGUCAGAGGUGAAAUUCUUGGAUUGACUGAAGACUAACUACUGCGAAAGCAUUUGCCAAGGACGUUUUCAUUA
RNAcentral lists this ribosomal RNA (368 nucleotides) under Pichia sp. RNAcentral describes it as "partial small subunit ribosomal RNA". It matches the Rfam family "Eukaryotic small subunit ribosomal RNA", at positions 582 to 975 of the family's 1831-position model. Lineage: Eukaryota; Fungi; Ascomycota; Pichiomycetes; Pichiales; Pichiaceae. The record is from RNAcentral.